GUCUUUCUCCUCCUGCUCUGUACUUGCAGUUUUUCCACCCUCCCACUUCUCUCUCUCUUUAUUUGUCUCUCUCUCUCUCCCUCUCAAAUGCAAGGCCAUGUGGGACGUCUGAUGAGGAGUUUCACCCCUCUACGUCUCCAGUUUCAUAUCUCUCUUUCCCUCUCCACCGUUCUUUGGCUUUCCGUACGGGUUCCUCGAGCUCCGCUGUCUUUGCAAGGUGAAGACCCGCUGGAGACUAGUUUAAAGAGUGUAAGGGGGGAAAAGGGGGAAAGAAAAAACCAGGCUUCUUUUUUUUCUGCCGAGGGCCUCCUGCCUAGAGUGCGACAGAGGCUCCACCACAAGCCUGCCAACACGCUCACAUUUUCAUGCACCCGAUUGCGGAAUUUCAGCAAGGUUUGCGGCUGCUUUUGAUUCGCGAAGUGCCUAUUUUGACAUUUUCUCUUUCAAUUUCAGUGAGCGGCCGAAUCCAUCGUGACACGAAGCCCACACCAGCGCAGCGCCAGGGCCCCUCGGAGUGCUGAAAACCUGCGGGAUUUGCCAUUUGGAAGUACUGACCUGCGACUUACCCAUUCCCGAUCCGUUCGCACAGGAGAUUCAGGAGUGAAGCUGCUCCGUUUUGGGACAGGUGCCAGUUGCAAAAGGCGAGUGAAAGCAUCGGUGAUCUGCAUGAGGAAACAUUGAGGGUGAGCGGAAAACACAAACUCGCAAACGUCCGUGCAACUAUCGAAAAAAAAAGUGAAGGAUGGUUGCAAGGGGAGGGGGAGACAGAAAAAGUGGAUCGUGAAAGAGGAGGUGGGGGGUGUUUAUUCAAGCCUGCUUGAUGCUCCUCGGGCCUUCGAGAGCUGAUUGCAUGUGCCGCGGUAACCGCGGGACCAUUUGCAUGCGGCAGACACGCUAAUUGUAUGUUUGCUAACAUGCACCAUUCAGCAAGACGCGCUCCAGUUCGCAGACGGGGUUCACACACGCCUCCCAGACGCCUCGGAGGCCUCCUAUUGUUCCAGAGGCCCAGCCAAGCAGCCGGCGAGCCUAACCAGAGCCCUGCUCAGGCCUGCCGAGAGGGAGAACUGGAAUUCGAGACCAGACGGGAUAGCGGGAUAGUGGACAGACUCACAGCCCCUCUCUCUUUCUCUCCGCAGCAAGAAAAAAUAGGCCUGUGGAAAGCGCUGCCUCCGGGCGCUGACGUCCUCGCAGAUGUGUGCACAAGAGAAGUUUGAAAUGGACUAACCAAGAUGCUGCCCUGCACAGGAUCACUAUAAUCGUCAUUAUAUGGAAAGAGCAGAAAGAAGAAAAUUCUCCUUAUGUGUUUCACAGACGAGUUUGAGCAACAUGCGGAGACUGAUCUUCCCUUUCCUUGUUACUGAAGAACAAGCAGAUCCUGCCAGAGACUCAUCUCUCUUUAUUACAGACGGAAGGAGAGACGCGCAGUGAUGAGACUUGAAAGGUGCCGGUUCAAAUUGACACACGCGUUUAUCUUUUAGGCUGUUUUUACACUUAAAUUGAUUGCUUGUUUAUUUCCGCUCUCCAUAUGUGACCCUGGAGCACAAAACCAGU
Long non-coding RNA from Sinocyclocheilus grahami, 1551 nucleotides. RefSeq lists it as uncharacterized. The transcript is spliced from 4 exons. NCBI's taxonomy places the organism in Eukaryota, Metazoa, Chordata, Actinopteri, Cypriniformes, Cyprinidae. The record is from RefSeq and is a predicted model, not a curated record.